RNAcentral lists this long non-coding RNA (265 nucleotides) under Vitis vinifera (wine grape). Its description in RNAcentral is "long non-coding RNA (VVIN_LNC005279)". The record is from RNAcentral. Lineage: Eukaryota; Viridiplantae; Streptophyta; Magnoliopsida; Vitales; Vitaceae.
AUGGAUAGUCUCAUCAUCACUCAGAAGAUAUCCCCUUGGAAAUUCUGGGUAGGCUAAUUCAGAAGUGGACCAAGGGUUGGCAAUUUCUUGAGAGGUUGAAACCGGUGGAGGAAUCGAGCCUGAGCUUGCAUUUGGAUCAAUAUUGUGGUUGAAAUCAAAGAGUUGUGUGGGCUCAAACCCAAAGUAAUCUCCCCCGAAAGAGUCAUGGAUAGUCUCAUCAUCACUCGGGAGAUACCCCUUGGAAAUUCUGGGUAGGCUAAUUCAG